GACGGAGGGUGCUAGCGUUGUUCGGAAUCACUGGGCGUAAAGGGCGCGUAGGCGGCCGCCCGCGUCGGACGUGAAAGCCCGGGGCUCAACCCCGGAACGGCGUCCGAUACGGGGCGGCUCGAGGCCGGGAGAGGGGGGUGGAAUACCCAGUGUAGAGGUGAAAUUCGUAGAUAUUGGGUGGAACACCGGUGGCGAAAGCGGCCCCCUGGCCCGGUCCUGACGCUGAGGCGCGAAAGCGUGGGAGCAAACAGG
This 252-nucleotide ribosomal RNA is filed under the name uncultured bacterium. RNAcentral's name for it is "partial 16S ribosomal RNA". It matches the Rfam family "Bacterial small subunit ribosomal RNA", at positions 524 to 776 of the family's 1533-position model. The record is from RNAcentral.